GGAAGUUUAGAAGUUCUUAGGCUUGAAUCCGAGGUUGAUUCGGUGUUUUGGUAUUAUUUUGGGUGUUCCAAAGGUUCGACUAAGUUCGGGUAGUGAUAUAUGACUUGUGGAAAUUAUUGAGGUCCCGAGGGGCUCGGGUGAGUUUCGGAUAGAUUUGGGCUGCGUUGUGCUCGUUUUUCUUAUGUUUCGACGUCGUUUCUUCCAGCAUAAAUGGUACCACAUUAAGCAAAUGAGCUCCGAUUUCUGUUUUGAUUGAAGAAUUAGAUCUGUAUCGUAAUUACGGAGCCAUAGCAAAAACAAUCGUCGAAUUUGGGCAUCGUAUGAGGAAUUUAUGGUCAUUUUACUAAAAAUAUUGGGUUGCGAGAUUUUUCAAACUAAUUACGCAAUUGCCACUGAAUUCGUAAUUAAACAUCUACACUAUUUGCAAAUAUUGAAACCAACAUAUCGCAUUUAUUAUAAGGUCAAAUUGAGUGAUUCAAAAGCCUAACUUGACUAGAAUUUCACAAGGAAUCCAUUGAAGACAUCAAAAGCGAGUUUCGGGAUCGGUAGGCAUGAGAAACGAUGCAGAAUAGCUGGCAGAAAAAUAUAUAAAACGAGGGUUUGUUCAUUCGGUCAUAUUUUGAGUUGGGGAGCUCAGAUUUGGGCGAUUUUAGGGGCGAUUUUCACCAUAAGGAUUGGGGUAAGUAUUCUCUACUCCGUUUCGGUUAUAUUUCAUGAAUCCAUCUUCGUUUUUGGGAUUUGAUUGAUGAUUUUAAAGUGAAAUUGAGGGAGUUAGGGUUUGAGUUUUGGAGAGUUUAAGUGAGGAUUUGAGGGACCAAACGGAGUCCGAUUUUGAUGAAUUUUAUAUUGUUAGACUCGGGAGAGGACGAGGUUUAUUAUUCUGCUAUUUUUGACUGAUUUUGAGACAUGGGCCCGGGGGCCGGGUUUUGGCCGGUUUCGGAUUUUUGGCAUAUUCAUGUAGUUUUUAUUGUGGAAUUUGAUUUUUUAGACUAUGUUGAUAGUAGUAUUCUGAUUUUUUGUUAGAUUCGGAGCUUUUGGAGACCAAGUCUAGAGACGAGGGCAUCCUGGAGUAGGAUUUUACGCUGUUAAGGUAAGUAACAGUUUUAACUUUGGCUUUGAGGGUAUAAACCCGGAGAAUUUGAUAUCGUGUGACUGUUUGGAGGUGAUACCCACGCUAGGUGAUGGGCGUGUGGGUGUAUACCUCGAGGGAUUGAGACUUGCUCCGUCCCGUGAGGCCUCAUGACCAUCAUCUGUGUUUACGUAAUUACUUGUUGUUGAACUUGUCUGCCUUCAUGUUAGGGAUCAUGCUUAGGCUUUAUUCAUGCUCACAUUAAUUAUACUCAGUCAUAGAAAUUAUUAUACAUGUUUACCCCAGUCUCUAUUAUUUGCUAAUAUGCUGUGAUACUUGAUGUGGGUUGUGUCCCCUUAUUUGUUGAUGAUGGUGAGGCUAGUGAGGUACAUGAUUGAGUGAAGCCGAGGGCCUGGUUGUGAGGAUAUUAAUACCAUAGCGUGUGAAUUGUCCGUGUAGCAUGUGAGUUGACUGUGCGGGUCCAGGUAUUGAUACCAUAGCGCGUGAGUUAUCUGCGUAGCACGUGAGUUGACCGUGCGAAUCCAGGUAUUGAUAUGAUGGCACGUGAGUUGUCCGUGCUUAGCGCUUGGGCUUUGGGAGCCCCUCCGGAAUCUGUACACACCCCCAGUGAGUGCAGAGUGUUGAGCGUUGAGUGUUGAGUGCGAGUGCUGAGUGAUGGAGGGACAUGGCUGUGAGGUUGCAUUUACUUUUAUUGUUGCUGCAUUUACCUGUUAAUUUUCCUUGUAGUCUUACUGAUUUAUGAAAUUACCUGUCUACUCCUGUUUGUACUUAAUUGUGGAAAUAAUAAUUGGAUUAUUAUGCUUAGCUCGUCACUACUUCUCAGUUCCUUAGUUAUUUCUUUUACUAUUGAGUCGGUUGUACUCAUACUACACCCUGCACUUUAUGUGCACCAGGUGAUUUAGAAGGCGGCGAUCGUUGAGUUCAGGCUGGCUAUCUUUGGAGACUGCAAGGUAGUUGUUAGCGUCCGCAGGACCUUGUUACUCUUCUUGUCAUUUCUUCUUUUGGACAGCUAGACAGUUUAUAUAUCUUAGUUCAUAGUUUUAGAUGCUCAUGACUUAGUGACAUCCCGAUGUUUGGGGCUCGUUUUCGUAUUUUCUAUAUUAUAUUUAGAGUUGAUUUAGUUUAUGAGAAAUUCAAAUGUUGAUAUUGUUUUAUUAAAUUCUUAUAAUCGAUUUAGUAGUAAUAUUUUGGGAAAUAGGCUUGCAUUGUAACACGAUAGGCGCCAUCACGAUCAUGGUUAGAUUUUGGAUUGUGACAGCCAUUGAAAAGGAAUAUAUAUUAUAAAUAAAACAAGUUCGACAGAAUUAUUAUAUACGAUAUGUAGUGAUUGUUGCGUACACCCUUUCACAGAACCUAUAUAAAAAGGCCC
RNAcentral lists this long non-coding RNA (2459 nucleotides) under Nicotiana tabacum (common tobacco). RNAcentral describes it as "long non-coding RNA (NTAB_LNC005816)". Lineage: Eukaryota; Viridiplantae; Streptophyta; Magnoliopsida; Solanales; Solanaceae. The record is from RNAcentral.